Molecule: ribosomal RNA, 964 nt
Filed under: Fictibacillus phosphorivorans
Lineage: Bacteria; Bacillati; Bacillota; Bacilli; Caryophanales; Fictibacillaceae
Description: bacterial SSU rRNA
Rfam family: Bacterial small subunit ribosomal RNA
Source: RNAcentral
UGAUUAGCGGCGGACGGGUGAGUAACACGUGGGUAAUCUGCCUGUAAGACGGGGAUAACUCCGGGAAACCGGGGCUAAUACCGGAUAAUAAGAGAAGAAGCAUUUCUUCUUUUUGAAAGUCGGUUUCGGCUGACACUUACAGAUGAGCCCGCGGCGCAUAGCUAGUUGGUGAGGUAACGGCUCACCAAGGCGACGAUGCGUAGCCGACCUGAGAGGGUGAUCGGCCACACUGGGACUGAGACACGGCCCAGACUCCUACGGGAGGCAGCAGUAGGGAAUCUUCGGCAAUGGGCGAAAGCCUGACCGAGCAACGCCGCGUGAGCGAUGAAGGCCUUCGGGUCGUAAAGCUCUGUUGUUAGAGAAGAACAAGUACGAGAGUAACUGCUCGUACCUUGACGGUACCUAACCAGAAAGCCACGGCUAACUACGUGCCAGCAGCCGCGGUAAUACGUAGGUGGCAAGCGUUAUCCGGAAUUAUUGGGCGUAAAGCGCGCGCAGGCGGUCUCUUAAGUCUGAUGUGAAAGCCCACGGCUCAACCGUGGAGGGUCAUUGGAAACUGGGAGACUUGAGUGCAGGAGAGAAAAGUGGAAUUCCACGUGUAGCGGUGAAAUGCGUAGAGAUGUGGAGGAACACCAGUGGCGAAGGCGGCUUUUUGGCCUGUAACUGACGCUGAGGCGCGAAAGCGUGGGGAGCAAACAGGAUUAGAUACCCUGGUAGUCCACGCCGUAAACGAUGAGUGCUAGGUGUUGGGGGGUUCCACCCUCAGUGCUGAAGUUAACACAUUAAGCACUCCGCCUGGGGAGUACGACCGCAAGGUUGAAACUCAAAGGAAUUGACGGGGGCCCGCACAAGCAGUGGAGCAUGUGGUUUAAUUCGAAGCAACGCGAAGAACCUUACCAGGUCUUGACAUCCUUUGACCACUCUAGAGAUAGAGCUUUCCCCUUCGGGGGACAAAGUGACAGGU